This 1580-nucleotide long non-coding RNA is filed under the name Gossypium barbadense (sea-island cotton). RNAcentral describes it as "long non-coding RNA (GBAR_LNC023609)". Lineage: Eukaryota; Viridiplantae; Streptophyta; Magnoliopsida; Malvales; Malvaceae. The record is from RNAcentral.
AACAUUUAUAAAAUUUUAAAAUUUUAAAUGACGAAUAACGUAAGCAAAUUGUAUUUCUGAGCUUCCAUAUGGCAAUGAAAAACAAUAAUUAAAACAAGUGAUGCAAAGGUAUAGAGUUAUUUGAUGUUGGAUGAUAUAAUGAAUAGUGAGGUGUUAGGGAUUUGUAUACAACUAUUAAAUGAAGUUUGAUAGGUAAAUUAGAGAGGACAGAGCUUUGAUCAUAUCUAGUGACUGAGCUAGAUUUACAAAGUUGCAAUCAAGCAAUGGUGGAGUUGGACAUAUUACUAUUCCUCUAUUCCUUUCCAUGUAUAUGUAUAAUGUUUUUGUAAAAAAAAACAGGGGAAAAAGAGAGCUAUCUAUUUCAAUUUCAUGAAACUUAUUAACUAAAUAGGAGAAAAGAUCUUGAAAAGGCUAGUUAAGCAGUUUACCACAAUUACUGCUUCUUAACUGAUCGGCCCCUUAUAAAAUUGAAAGUUUUUUGCAUCCGUUUAGGCUGCGGCCCUUCUUCCUCUGUUUCAUCGUGGAUAUUACGUUUUCGUUUUACAAGGGAAGUGCUACCUGUGGAUCCAUCCUUGUCAGUAGAGUGUUGAUGGUUUGCUACUUGGUACUAAGUGUAAAUCAGGGGCUGCAUUGAAAAUCCUACUGUACAAGCCCGUUUAGCCCAACAAAUCAAAGCCCCAACCCAAACAAAUCAAGGCCCAAAUCCCAAGUUAAGCCCAAUACCCAAAAUUAGAAAAAAAUAAUAAAUAAACCCUAGGUGCGGUGCACCUAGGGACUUUUGACAGCCGACGCUUGCAGCACCGCCCAUGUCACAUCCACCGCCCGUGUACCUGCAAGAAGAACAGAGUAAUCAAUUGAGAAGCAAGUUGUAAAGAAAUGGCUAUAAAAGGCCAAGUUCAAAACCAUUGUUCUCUCUCGGCAAUCUUUGAUAUAUACAAAAAAAUUUCAAUCUUUUUAGACAAAAAACAACUCCAAAGAUCAAAAGUAAGAAUAUAGCAUCAGAUCAAACCCAAAAACUUGAGAAAUUAAAACUAAAGGGCCAAGGUGACUCUUCUUUCCCUUUUUUGUUUCUAUUUCACGGCCAAAUCUAUUCAUUUCACAUUCGUAUAUGCAUAAAUAUGUAAUAUGAAGAAAUAAAAAAGAUAUACACCUUAAAACGUAAAAAAAGGGGAGUUUUUACCUCUGACCGCCGUGCACGGCGGUCGCCAACGGCGGAGACGCGACGGAGAGCGGUGGCAGCUCGCCGGAACCCCGACCGAACCAAGAGCGCCUGCACAGAGAAAAUGAAAGAAAGUGAUUUUUUUUAAAGCAGAAAGAAAGAAUGAAUUUUUUUUAAAAAAAUUUAGUUUAUAUAGAGGUAGAAAACGACGUAGUUUCAUGGGGAUUUCGGAGACCUCAAAACGGCGCCGUUUGGCCCUCGACUCGCGCAGGUGACCCGACCCGCUAGAGGAUCCGCGUAUUUUUGUAUGAUGGUCUAACUGCGCUGGGGGUCCUUCCAAUUUUUAUAUGUUUCGCAAUCAGGUUUUCAUUUAUUUUAAUUUAGCUCUGAAGUUUAUCAAGUUUUUCGAUUUGGUCCUCCC